UACCAUUAAUAAUAACAAAAUAAUAAAGUUCCAGCCCUCAUCUGUAUAUAUAUACGUCUCAAUCAGUCCCUCAACUGUUGCUAUCCUCCUGAGUCCUCUUCUCUCUCUCUCUCUCUCUCAACCAAGCUUGCACUCUUCCUCUCAUUCUAGUUUUUUUUUUAAAUAAUAUUCUUAUAAAGGUUUGAUGAGCUGAUGUAGCUAAAAGAAGUGAAAAAACCAAAUGGGUUCUCUUUCUUUUUAUGUGAUCUUCGCCGGAAUCUGACAUGAGGUGGUACUUGCUAUAUGUUAGUCUCACCACACACAACCAGAGGGAGUGUGUUUUUGUCAGAAUCUCGCCGGAUAAAUAAAUCUGAUCCACUUAACUAAAAAUCUUUGAUUUACCAAAGUACUGAAACUCGUUAGUUCUUGAUUCCAUUUAUUAGAUUUUUUUUUCUUUCUUUCUUCUCAUCUGAUAUAAAAAAAUAUUAUUAUAUUUUUAAUGUUGAAAACGGGUUUUGUCUUGUUAUAAAGUUCUGAGUUAAACAAGGUUGUAGGAUUCUUUCUCGGGCAUCCCCUUCACGUAUUCCCUUUUGGCCUUAACCAAUGGCAACAUGCCACAUCAGCUCCUUGCUCGUGGGUUUGUUGGUUUGCAUAUGUGCUGUCCAAUAUUUCUUUGUUUUUCACUUUUUCUCAAUUUUUUUCCUUACAAGAAUUUGCUAGAUAUAUAUUAUAUGUUUGCUUAAUUUCAAUCUUGAAACCUUGUAGAGAGGAGGUAAAAAGAUGGGGCAUGGAAUUGAAGGCUAAAGGGGUUCUUGUGCAUGGAAAUAUUGACAAUCGUUGUUUGCGGGUGGAGCAUCAUCAAGAUUCACAUGCAAAUGCACGGCCGGUGAUGUUAAGAGUUAAAUCUUUCUUUGUUUCUGUUCAUCUGCCAAAGUUCUUUGGAAGUGAGAAUCUUGAUGAUGCUGCAUCGGCAAUAAACGACUAUACAACACAAAAGGACUUGGCAAAAAAAAAAAAAAAAAAAACAGUUUGUGAGUGACACUUUGCUCCUGCUGACCAACAGCAAAUUAAAGCUUGCAGAGAAGGAAAAGGAAGGACACCCUUCGUUUUGCUGACUUUAGCAGAUCUGUGAUUAUUCCCUCCGAGGAAAAUAUUCAGGGGAUGCAAAUGGUAUCUUUUCUGUGUUGCAGAUGUGAUAGGUAACUUUGUCAAUAAGCAAGAAAGGUGAGGGAGGGAGGGAGGGAGGGAGAGAGAGAGAGAGUGUUGAUACCCUUGAUUGUGUUGAUGAUACGAUACGAGCUUAUAAAAUAAUGGGAUUAAAUAGGUGAAUAUACUAGACCCCUUACUGUUUCCAUUUCUGGGUGUUUGAUUUGAGAUCCGUUACAGAUCUUUGAUUUGUUUCAAAGAAUGAUUGUUUUGGGUGGUUUUCGAUUCUCUUUUUUACACAAAGGCAAAGCAACGAUUAUGUAUGUGGAGGUUCUUUCUUUCCUUGGAGGAUAGACAUUGUUCAUUGGAGUCUGAUAAGACAGGAAGUAGAGCAUUGAAGCAGAAGCUGAUCACAUUGGUAAGGAUAAGAAGAAAAAAUAAAGUGAGUAGUUUUUAUCAGAUUUUGUUGUUUAUGGGGUUUUUUAUUAUAUCAGCUAAAAUAGCUUUACUUGAGUUUCAGAGUGUUCUCCAUCCCACAAUCUUUGUCUUCACUGGAAAUGGUUCAAAAUACUCUUUGAUUAUUUUAUGGACAUUCUUCCAAAUGGUUUUUUCUGUGGAAUCAGUAGAUCCUUGAAAAUUAUUAACAGUUUUGAGAACUUUGGCAUGCCAAAUCAUGGUGGGAACAGGUCAUAUUCUCACUGCCAUGGUUGUGUAGGCUUUGGCAUUAGAUCUCUGUACUCACCAAUCUUGUUGGUGGACCAUCUAUCUUGCAACUUGGACCCUCGCCUUGUAGUCCUACUUUUUUGCAGACUUAUUCAGUCCACCUAUUUUUCACCUCUUUCAAUAAUAGCAACCUAAGAGAUUUGGCAAUUUAUUCUCCUUUUCUAUUCACUAUCCAUGACAGUGAUAACUCAGCCAUUUCAAGAUUAUAGAGAUCUGUGUGCCUCCAUCGCUGUCUUAAUCAUUGGUUCACCUAUUCCAUGCCCGUGUGGUUUCAAUCCUCCCAUCUACUCUUCUUCUUUAUGAAUCUGAAACGAGGCAGUACAGGAAGGGAAAAUUUAGGUUCACUGAUUUACGAACUGUUGUUUUGUUAUGUAUGAGUUUUAUUUCCCGUUUUGUGAUUCAAGAUGUUUCUUUUAACAAUUUAAUCUAAGCAAUCUAUCACUGGUCUUUAGAUGUUAAAGUUCGCAUUAAUUUUUCAAGAUUACGUUUUACUAUGUUUCCCUUUAUAGACUACUCUCAUCUCCUUGUGGAAACAUAUGAUCAAGUUGUUCAAGUAGAGUUGUCCCUCUAGCUAGUUCUCCUAGAUCAGAAAGAGAGAAUUAAUAUAGCAGAAUGUAAGCUCAUAUAAUCAUAGUCUUAUCACGUAGUUUUCUCAUUGAAGUUACGCUGUUUUAUGUGUUUGGUUACUCUUCUGUUAUUAGAAGCGACAGAGAUAGCGGCGAUAGAGAAGCCAUGUUGCUUUAUAUUUUUUAUUUUAAAAGUAUAUAAAUUCAUUUUAGAAUUGAUUCAUAGAUAGAUUUAUUUUAUAUUUUUGUUUUUAUUUUUUCUGUAUUUUUUUUAUCUUGAGAUUUAUCUCGAGACACUAACCAAACACAACUUUAAUGUUUGACACCGAUAAGAUUGCUUUGUUUUUUGGUCAUAAAGUUCUUAUUUUUUGUUCACUACUAAAUUCCAUUACAUUUGAACUUCUUUAGUUUUCAAUAUUGGAUUGGAAUUUCUUUAGUUUAUAUCCCAAUUUUCCUUCAUUAGUUAUUGAAACCACGUUCAUGAACUAUUUUGAGACUACAUUUUACAAGUCUUGUAACUAAGAUACUGUAAGUUACUGUUUAACUGCAAUAAUCUGCAAAUAAUUGAAGCAGCUCCUGUUCUUCGACCAAGUUAACAGUUUAAAUAAGCAAAUACUCGCACAAAAUCUACUCCCCCUCUUUAGGCUACAUGAUCAUUGUUUUAAUAUUUCAUGUCCAAAAAAUCAGAGAUUAUGAAUUACAUGUCCUUUCUGUUGGUAA
Populus trichocarpa (black cottonwood) is the source of this 3134-nucleotide long non-coding RNA. RefSeq lists it as uncharacterized. NCBI's taxonomy places the organism in Eukaryota, Viridiplantae, Streptophyta, Magnoliopsida, Malpighiales, Salicaceae. The transcript is spliced from 2 exons. The record is from RefSeq and is a predicted model, not a curated record.